AGCGAACGCUGGCGGCAGGCUUAACACAUGCAAGUCGAGCGGGCGUAGCAAUACGUCAGCGGCAGACGGGUGAGUAACGCGUGGGAACGUACCUUUUGGUUCGGAACAACACAGGGAAACUUGUGCUAAUACCGGAUAAGCCCUUACGGGGAAAGAUUUAUCGCCGAAAGAUCGGCCCGCGUCUGAUUAGCUAGUUGGUAGGGUAAUGGCCUACCAAGGCGACGAUCAGUAGCUGGUCUGAGAGGAUGAUCAGCCACAUUGGGACUGAGACACGGCCCAAACUCCUACGGGAGGCAGCAGUGGGGAAUAUUGGACAAUGGGGGCAACCCUGAUCCAGCCAUGCCGCGUGAGUGAUGAAGGCCCUGGGGUUGUAAAGCUCUUUUGUGCGGGAAGAUAAUGACGGUACCGCAAGAAUAAGCCCCGGCUAACUUCGUGC
RNAcentral lists this ribosomal RNA (436 nucleotides) under soil DNB bacterium G14115. RNAcentral's name for it is "bacterial SSU rRNA". It matches the Rfam family "Bacterial small subunit ribosomal RNA", at positions 29 to 508 of the family's 1533-position model. RNAcentral also lists the same sequence under 1 other name. Lineage: Bacteria; Pseudomonadati; Pseudomonadota; Alphaproteobacteria; Hyphomicrobiales; Nitrobacteraceae. The record is from RNAcentral.